RNAcentral lists this non-coding RNA (27 nucleotides) under Bombyx mori (domestic silkworm). Lineage: Eukaryota; Metazoa; Arthropoda; Insecta; Lepidoptera; Bombycidae. The record is from RNAcentral.
AAAAGGACAGGAACGCCUACUUUCAGC